RNAcentral lists this transfer RNA (85 nucleotides) under Endozoicomonas numazuensis. It matches the Rfam family "tRNA". From Rfam's summary of the family: Transfer RNA (tRNA) molecules are approximately 80 nucleotides in length. Their secondary structure includes four short double-helical elements and three loops (D, anti-codon, and T loops). The record is from Rfam by way of RNAcentral. Lineage: Bacteria; Pseudomonadati; Pseudomonadota; Gammaproteobacteria; Oceanospirillales; Endozoicomonadaceae.
GCCCGGGUGGUGAAAUUGGUAGACACAGCAGACUUAAAAUCUGCCGACUGAAUAAGUCGUGCCGGUUCGAUUCCGGCUCCGGGCA